Long non-coding RNA from Sapajus apella (tufted capuchin), 1450 nucleotides. RefSeq lists it as uncharacterized. The transcript is spliced from 3 exons. The record is from RefSeq and is a predicted model, not a curated record. NCBI's taxonomy places the organism in Eukaryota, Metazoa, Chordata, Mammalia, Primates, Cebidae.
CCAGGCUUUUCUAGGUACCUGUUGCAGGUCCCUCGGGGAGAUGUGUCUCCUCAGUCAGGAGCAGUCCUGUCCCAGUCUGCUCACACAUAAGGAGAUCAAAAGUGGCUCUACCCAAGGUGGUGGGUUGGAAUUUUAGCUUGCUUUUGCUUGCCUGAUGUAUCAUCACCUUUGACCAUGAGCUUUUAGAAGAGUCGACAAGAGCUGCCUGGAACAGGUGCUGUUAUAAACACAGAGGCCAUGGAGAAGCAACGUGAGCUGUGCAGAGGUAUACCAAAGCGAUACAUUAGAGCAUGGAUCUCGUAGGUACAGCCUUUAUUAGUAGUAGCAGUCUGAAACAGCUGAAUCAGUUAUUUAGUUUAUGAUGGGCCCUGGAGUUCUAGGAACUGCCUGUUACUGCAAUGUGGAAAAACCAACUCCUGGCCUAAAUGCCAAGUGGUGUCCUGCCCCUCUGCCCCUAGCGAGGAGGUAGCACUUUGAAAAGGGCCAGCUGCAGUGGUAUAAGGGGGAUAUAAUGUUGCGCUGCACUGGCCAGGAUGAGACUUGGGUUUCUCAGGUGUUGGGAGGGGCCAUAGAGCUCCUAAGAGUUUGUCUUUGGCUAUCAGGGCAGAUAGAAAAAAGACAUCAGGUGGGGUCACAGCUAGGUGAGCUUGAGCUUGGACUUGGAGUGGGGCAUACUGCAGUCACUAUGGGAGGUGAUGGGGGGUGGUUCUCAGGCCAAUGGAUUUGCUUCCAGGGGAAUUAUGGCCAUUUGUGCUGUGUCAUACAGGAUUCCAGGGAAGUGGGAGGAAAGCUGGCAGCAACAGGCCUCACCCAGCCCCCAUGUUGCCAGCACAGCCAGUCUUGCUCCUCUUGCUGUGCCCCACCAACAGCAUUGAGUUUAUAUCCAGGGAGAGGGUGUGCAGGGCUGAGAACUUGCCCCAGGCUACAAGCCUCCCCCCUGACAAAGCAAGGUAAGCCUCUUGAGCACUUCAUGAACCAUUGACUGUGGCUUCUACUUGUAUCUGCACUGCCUGUUCACCUCUCUGGAUUCUGCUCAGGAAAAUUAGUGCUCAAUUACUACAAACUUUGGAUAGAACUUCCUUCACCCUGUGGCCCCUCUCUAAUUUCACUGGCUGCCUUUCCCCAGGACCGAGAGGACCAGGAAUGGCUUCCCUGGGUUUGAGCUGGGGACUGGUAGUGCCUACAGGACUAUUACAGCUGCCUCUCCUGUUUUAGUAUUUCACUCCACUCCCUAGGCCAGUUUUUGCUCUAGGAAAGGUUAAAUCCUUCUACUGUGAUAUGAAUUUUUGGGUUCCCCAGCAGGGAUGUGUGUUCUCCUCACACUUGGGAAACUCAGUUUUUUUGGCUGCCUUGUAGAGUGUGCAGCAGCAAGCUGCUUCUUUCAAAGGGUCUGAAUUAUUUUCCUGGUGUGUUCCUGCCGUGGCUCGUGGGGUAAAAACUCAGGAUAUGA